GUGAAGAAGACAAACAGUUCCUUUUACAGUUGGACCAAUAGAAUUGAGAUGGCACACAAAGUGGGUCCUAUGUUUAUACUAUUGGGCUGUCACGGCCCAUCUUUAAAAUGUCGAAGCAUCCACGACAUAGACGGUGACACAUGGAGAAAAUGUUCGCCGGCCAAGAUUGCGACCACGUCAUCGAAACUUCUGAGUGUUCCACCUGUCAAAGCUACCGUCAAAGAUUACGAUCUUUUGUUUUAUUGUUGUGUGCGCGUAGUCAUGUAAACGCCACAAAAACAAAA
RNAcentral lists this long non-coding RNA (284 nucleotides) under Brassica napus (rape). Its description in RNAcentral is "long non-coding RNA (BNAP_LNC007165)". Lineage: Eukaryota; Viridiplantae; Streptophyta; Magnoliopsida; Brassicales; Brassicaceae. The record is from RNAcentral.